This 88-nucleotide transfer RNA is filed under the name Pseudomonas sp. RNAcentral describes it as "tRNA-Ser". It matches the Rfam family "tRNA". Rfam says of the family: Transfer RNA (tRNA) molecules are approximately 80 nucleotides in length. Their secondary structure includes four short double-helical elements and three loops (D, anti-codon, and T loops). Further hydrogen bonds mediate the characteristic L-shaped molecular structure. tRNAs have two regions of fundamental functional importance: the anti-codon, which is responsible for specific mRNA codon recognition, and the 3' end, to which the tRNAs corresponding amino acid is attached (by aminoacyl-tRNA synthetases). tRNAs cope with the degeneracy of the genetic code in two manners: having more than one tRNA (with a specific anti-codon) for a particular amino acid; and 'wobble' base-pairing, i.e. permitting non-standard base-pairing at the 3rd anti-codon position. RNAcentral also lists the same sequence under 2 other names. Lineage: Bacteria; Pseudomonadati; Pseudomonadota; Gammaproteobacteria; Pseudomonadales; Pseudomonadaceae. The record is from RNAcentral.
GGAGGUGUGGCCGAGCGGUUUAAGGCAGCAGUCUUGAAAACUGCCGACUGUAACAGGUCCGUGAGUUCGAAUCUCACCGCCUCCGCCA